CAGGGGCCUCCGGCGCGAGGCCCCCUUCCUGGUCAAGAUGGCGGCGCCCAGGCGGACCGCGCCGAGAUGAGCUGGAGCUGGGCCCGGAGAGGGACGAGUCUGCCACGCCCAGGACUUGGACCCCGGGCUGGUCUCCAGUCUCCCGGGGAGCGGCGGGACUAUUUAUCAAGGAUCUUCCUGUUCUCUAUGCUUGGACGUAUCACUGAAUAAAUUAGACAAGAGCCUUUGCCUGCGUGCUCCUUCUUGCAUGCUUUCUCCCUCCUUACACUCUCGUGUGGAAACGGAUGUUAUAAAUAAAUUCUAUGCUUGUCACAAGUUGAUGGGCGCCACGGGAUAAGGAAAAGGAUGUGAAGCUCACUGAAGAGGCUUGGGUUGGGAGUGCUGGAGGAGUGUACAGGUGGGGAAAAUGUACCAGCGUGUAUGCCUACUGGGACCACGUUUUCCAGAACAGUUAAGCCCAGUGUCAACUAUGCUGUCCCACCUUCCUCGGCUUCCCUGGUGGCGCAGUGGUUGAGAGUCUGCCUGCCGAUGCAGGGGACGCGGAUUCGUGCCCCGAUCCGGGAAGAUCCCACAUGCCGCGGAGGGGCUGGGCCCGUGAGCCAUGGCCGCUGAGCCUGCGCGUCCGGAGCCUGUGCUCCGCAACGGGAGAGGCCACAACAGUGAGAGGCCCGUGUACCGUAAAAAAAAAAACAAAAAAACUCCGUUUUAAUUUAAUUUUUCUUGAGGUAACAUUGGUUACCGCCUCUCAGCUCGAAAUUCACUCUUUUGUUACUUGCUCGGUGAAAAGUGCUGUGGGUCCUUUAAAUAGUUUUUCCUUGGCCAGCUCGUGUGAUGUUAGGCUUUCCUAAUUGAUGGCACCUGAGGAAGGUGUUGCUUCGUGAUGCCCCGGUGCUUGCUGGGAAGGCUCUUGGUGGCGUCUUCAGCACCCACUCACUCCUGCAGCUCUGAGGGCGUCCUCAGCCCUGCUCCCGGGGCUCACAACUUCUCCGGUAGUUGGCUUCAGCAGUGCGUAGAGAGAGCAGUGGACGACAGCUUCCGUCAGCAUCUUCUAUCAAGCAGUUUUGGAGUAGCGCCUCAGAUGAAGACACUGAGGAAGAGAAAAGUUAAGAAUUUGCCUAUGAUCAGUUAUCCAUCUGUUCAGCCAGUGCACAAAUUACACUGCCCAACUCCAAGAUCAGGAGAAUCUUGGUACCAGGACCACACAAUGAAGAACUUGGAGCCCCCGUGGCUAAUCCAGCAGAGAGAAAAGGAGGAACAGAGAUGCGAGAGAAAAUAAAGGGAACUCUUGGUGCAAUUUAGUGCUGCUGUAGGCCCAAGUCCAGAACUGAUUUUUCAAAAAUCACUGGAUUUAUUGAAAGACAUGGAAUAGAAAUGCAGUGAAAUUCAGAUCACAGAGAAUCAUAAAGAAAUUUGCUUUUGGAAAAAUCAGUUCUGUGUAAUUAGCAGUGAUUUCCAGAAACAUUUCUUCUAACACUGAUGUGAAGGAAAAUGCAGUUAAGGAAGAUAAAUCACUGGACCAUUGGGAGCCAUGUCAGAGGACUGAAUACUACCCAGAGAUCUUGUACUUCAGAAUAAAUGCAGUAAUUGACUUUGGAUUUUCUCCCUUUGGGAAGGAAUUAAGACAUAUUUCAAGUGGGCAUGAAUUUUUUUUAAAUGUAUUGUAGAAUGUGUGGAAUGAAAAUAUGUAUGUGGAAUAAGUUCUCGGAUAGCCAAAGAGCUUGUAAUAUUGGAUUUUAAUUGUUGCUUAUCCAUUUAUAUUCCAUAUGCCCCCUUCAUUUCCCUACUAGAAACUGAAUUCAUUUUCCCCAAAUAUCCAGUUCAUUCUAUGAAGCUUAUAUAACUUAGUAGAGACUGAGUGGGCUCCGUUUAGUCUAAACCAAUCACAAUAUUUAUCUUUACACCUAUCAGUGAUCGGUUGGAAAAUAGACAUGGAAUUUACUGAGAAUUAAAAGAAUUAGGAAGUCAGCUAAGGGCUUCUGGGAAAGUUCUUCUUUGCUCUUCAGUCAAGAACGUAAGAACAGGAAUAAGCCUCUAAAACUGAUUGCUACUGGCAGUCACCUUGUAACCCUGAGGGCAACCAGUCUUAGCAUAAAGCCAACCUGAGGACAAAAGAGAUAAAAGACAGAUAAAACCAAUGACUCUGAUGACCUCAUUAAGUCAUGUAUUCAGUGAGCUUAGAAAUCUGCUCCAACUUCCAGUUUUAUGAGACAAUAGAUGAUCUCAUUGUUUUAGCAAGUUUAUAUAGAAUUCCUAUUAAUUAAUCCAAAAGCAUUCUAAAUAAUAUAAUUGUAUUCCCCAUCUAUUCCCUCUGGAAAACCUAGAGGGUGCUUGUGAAGAGAUUCUAUAUAGGACAGUUUUCCAGGGGUAUCCACAGUAAUUCCAUACAUCAAGCAUCUCUGUGGCCUAGUUUUACAGAAAACUAAGUGCUUUUUAUUCCAUUCUGUCCUCUUUUAUGAUAACCCCCUGUAAAACUGGAUGGUCUAUAUAUGUUUGUACUCCAUUUCUGGACUAUUCAGGUACUUAGCCAUGUGACUUCAGGUUUCCUUGAAGAGCAAAACAUUACACUGGGUAUUUAUUUCAGUGUCUGGACAGCUCAUGAUAAGAAUAUUCUAUUUCAUUUUAGUUUUGUCAAUAGGGAGGGUUGUGUGCCCAGAGGAAAAUGAUAACCAAAACAGUAUAAUGUUUUCUCAUGCUUGAGAAUACUAAUGCUGUUAAAUAUUUCUUCUGAAACACUAUGUGUGGUGAAUGACUGGAAUUCAAUCCUAGGUGUAAACUUUAAUUUACUCCAUCUUUCCCCAGUUUUUAUAGUUACAUUUUUUAUUGUCCUUUGCUUUUGUAAGUAAUGCCUCUAUAAACAUUUUCAUACAAAAUCAGUAUUAUUCAAUAGAAUUAUUUUUGAAUUCCUAUUUUAGCAAGAUGCUUAUGUAUUUCAAAUUUAGUACUAGGUAUUCAUUAGGAAAUUUGAUUCUUGUUAUCAUGGAGCUUACAAAGUACUGAGGAGAGAGAUGCAAAAUAAAAUCUCACAAUAACAUAUUUUUCUGUGGUGAAUACUAUCCAAAAAAUGUAUAGUAUUUUAUGAGACUAAGAGUGAAAGAACAAACGUGUUUUCCAUUAAGAAAAAAUCUGAGAGAGACCUUCAAGAUUGCAGAGGAGUAACACGUGGAGAUCACCUUCCUCCUCACAAAUACAUCAAAAGUACUUCUACAUGUGGAACAACUCCUACAGGACACCUACUGAACGCUGGCAGAAGACCUCAGACUUCCCAAAAGGAAAGAAAAUCCCCAGGUACCUGGAGAGGGCAAAGAAAACAGAAAAAACAGAGACAAAAGAAUAGCAGUGGAACCUGCACAUCUGGGAGGGAGCUGUGAAGGAGGAAAAGUUUCCACACACUAGGAAGCCACUUCACUGGCGGAGACGGGGGUGGGGUGUGUGUGUGGGAAGUUUCAGAGCCACAGAGGAGAGUGCAGCAACGGGUGCAGAGGGCAAAGCGGAGAGAUUCCUGCAAAGAGGCUCGGUGCUGACCAGCACUCACCAGCCUGAGACGCUUUGCUCACCCGCUGGGGGGCUGGGGACUGGGAGCUGAGGAUCGGGGGUCAGAUUCCAGGGAGAGGACUCGGGUUGGUGGCGUGAACACAGUGUGAAGUGGUUAGUGCACCACAGCUAGCCGGGAGGGAGUCCAGGAAAAUGUCUGGACCUGCCUAAGAGGCCAGAAACCGUUGUUUCGGGAUGCGCGAGGAGAGGCGCUUCCUGCUCUGUGUGCCCACAGACGGCAGAGCACAGCCUAAGCAAGCUCCAGAGAUGGGCAUGAGCCGCAGCUAUCAUCUCAGACCCCAGAGUCAGGCACGGACCACUAAUGCUGCCACCACUGCCACCAAAAAUCCUGUGUGCAAGCACAGGACACUACCACACUCCCCCAGGAGCCUGUGUAGCCCGCCACUGCCAGUGUCCCAUGAUCCAGGGACAACUUCUCCAGGAGAACACAAGGCAUGCCUCAGGCUGUUGCAAUGUCACAUCAGCUUCUCCCCCCUGCAGGCUCACCCCGCAUUCCAAUUAUGACUAUCAUACCUUUCCUCCUCUCCGACCUGAGUGAUCAAGAGAGCCCUAAUAAGCCGCUGCUUUAAUCCUUUCCUGUCUGGGUGGGGAACAGAUGCCUGAGGGUGGCCUACACACAGAGGCAGGGCCAAAACCAAAGCUGAACCCCAGGAGCUGUGCGAGCAGAGGUUAGAAAGGGAAAUUUCUCCGUGCAUCCUCAGGAGCAGUGGAUUAAAUCCCUGCAAUCGACCUGAUAAACCCUGCAUCUGUGCAAUACCUGAAUAGACAAUGAAUGUUCCCAAAAUUGAGAUGGUGGACUUUGGGAGCAACUGUAGAUUUGGGGUUUGCUUUCUGCAUCUGAUUUGGUUUUGGUUUUAUGUUUAACUUAGUUUAAUUUUUAGUGCUUGUUAUCAUUGGUGGAUUUGUUUAUGGGUUUGGUUGCUCUCUUUUUUUUUUCUUUUAAUGAGUGUGUGUGUGUGUGUGUGUGUGUGUGUAUGUGUGUUUCUUUGUGUGAUUUUGUCUGUUUAGGUUUACUUUUACCAUUUAACCUAGGGUUCUGUCUGUUCGUUUUUCUGUUACUUUUGUUUUUUUUGUUUGCUUGUUUGUCUUUUCUUUUAAUGAGUGUGUGUGUCUGUAUGUUUCUUUGUUUGAUUUUAUCUGUUUAGUUUUGCUUUUACCAUUUGUUUUGGGGUUCUAUCUGUUUGGUUUUUUUCUUCCUUUUCUUUCAAGGCAUGCAGAUGGCAGGGUCUUAGUGAUACAGCCAGGUGUUGUGCCUGGGCUUCUGAGGAGGGACAGCCGAGUCCAGGACAUUGGACAACCAGAGACCUCCCAGGCCCAUGUAGUAUUGGCGAGAGCUCUCCCAGAGAUCUCCAUCUCAACACUAA
Molecule: RNA transcript, 4916 nt
Organism: Orcinus orca (killer whale)
Lineage: Eukaryota; Metazoa; Chordata; Mammalia; Artiodactyla; Delphinidae
Exons: 10
Source: RefSeq, a predicted model, not a curated record